UUAAUUGAAGAGUUUGAUCAUGGCUCAGAUUGAACGCUGGCGGCAGGCCUAACACAUGCAAGUCGAGCGGCAGCACAGAGGAACUUGUUCCUUGGGUGGCGAGCGGCGGACGGGUGAGUAAUGCCUGGGAAAUUGCCCGGUAGAGGGGGGAUAACCAUUGGAAACGAUGGCUAAUACCGCAUA
This 183-nucleotide ribosomal RNA is filed under the name Vibrio cholerae. RNAcentral's name for it is "partial 16S ribosomal RNA". It matches the Rfam family "Bacterial small subunit ribosomal RNA", at positions 1 to 175 of the family's 1533-position model. Lineage: Bacteria; Pseudomonadati; Pseudomonadota; Gammaproteobacteria; Vibrionales; Vibrionaceae. The record is from RNAcentral.